RNAcentral lists this ribosomal RNA (327 nucleotides) under Coccinella miranda. RNAcentral's name for it is "partial 16S ribosomal RNA". Lineage: Eukaryota; Metazoa; Arthropoda; Insecta; Coleoptera; Coccinellidae. The record is from RNAcentral.
UAUAAUUUAAAGUAGGGCCUGCCCACUGAGAUUUUAAAGGGCCGCAGUAUUUUGACUGUGCAAAGGUAGCAUAAUCAUUAGUUUUUUAAUUGAAAGCUUGUAUGAAUGGUUUGAUGAAAAAAUAACUUUCUAUAUUUAAAUUUUAUGAAAACUUUAUUUUUAAGUUAAAAAGCUUAAAUUUUUUUAAUAGACGAGAAGACCCUAUAGAGUUUUAUUAUAAUAAAUUUUUAAAUUUUAGGAAUUUAAAAAUUUUAAUUUUUAUUAUAAUUUGGUUGGGGUGAUUAAAAAAUUAAAAGAACUUUUUUUUAUUUUAUACAUAGAUUUAUG